ACGGGUGAGUAACGCGUGGGUAACCUACCCUAAAGACCGGGAUAACAGCGGGAAACUGCUGCUAAUACCGAAUGAGCUGUUUUUGCUGUGGCAAGAGCAGGAAAGGCAGAAGCGCUUUAGGAUGGGCCCGUGUCCCAUUAGCUAGUUGGUGAGGUAGAGGCUCACCAAGGCGACGAUGGGUAGCCGGCCUGAGAGGGUGGACGGCCACACUGGGACUGAGACACGGCCCAGACUCCUACGGGAGGCAGCAGUAGGGGAUAUUGCGCAAUGGGGGAAACCCUGACGCAGCGACGCCGCGUGAGCGAAGAAGGCCUUCGGGUCGUAAAGCUCUGUCCUAUGGGAAGAGGAAGGACGGUACCAUAGGAGGAAGCCCCGGCUAACUACGUGCCAGCAGCCGCGGUAAAACGUAGGGGGCGAGCGUUGUCCGGAAUAACUGGGCGUAAAGGGUGCGUAGGCGGACUGUUAAGUCUGAUGUGAAAACCUUGGGCUUAACCUAAGGCAGGCAUUGGAAACUGGCAGUCUCGAGUGCAGGAGAGGGAAGUGGAAUUCCCGGUGUAGCGGUGGAAUGCGUAGAUAUCGGGAGGAACACCAGUGGCGAAGGCGGCUUCCUGGACUGCAACUGACGCUGAGGCACGAAAGCUGGGGGAGCAAACAGGAUUAGAUA
This 664-nucleotide ribosomal RNA is filed under the name uncultured bacterium. RNAcentral's name for it is "bacterial SSU rRNA". It matches the Rfam family "Bacterial small subunit ribosomal RNA", at positions 102 to 784 of the family's 1533-position model. The record is from RNAcentral.